AAUCAACGCUGGCGGCGUGCCUAACACAUGCAAGUCGAACGCGAAAGGGGACUUCGGUUCCUGAGUAGAGUGGCGUACGGGUGAGUAACGCGUGGGUCAUCUGCCCUCGGGUGGGGAAUAACUAAUCGAAAGGUUAGCUAAUACCGCAUAACACAGUGAUGUCAAAGCAGCAAUGUGCCUGAGGAGGAGCCUGCGUCUGAUUAGGUAGUUGGUGGGGUAACGGCCUACCAAGCCUGCGAUCAGUAGCUGGUCUGAGAGGACGGCCAGCCACAAUGG
Molecule: ribosomal RNA, 276 nt
Filed under: uncultured bacterium
Lineage: Bacteria
Description: partial 16S ribosomal RNA
Rfam family: Bacterial small subunit ribosomal RNA
Source: RNAcentral